AACGCGAAGAACCUUACCAGGCCUUGACAUGUCCAGUUUGAUCGCCAGAGAUGGCUUUCUUCACUUCGGGUGGCUGGAACACAGGUGCUGCAUGGCUGUCGUCAGCUCGUGUCGUGAGAUGUUGGGUUAAGUCCCGCAGCGAGCGCAACCCUCGUCCUUAGUUGCCAUCAUUCAGUUGGGAACUCUAAGGAAACUGCCUAUGAUAAGUAGGAGGAAGGUGGGGACGACGUCAAGUCAUCAUGGCCCUUACGGCCUGGGCUACACACGUGCUACAAUGGUAGUGACAAUGGGCAGCGAUACCGCAAGGUUCAGCUAAUCCCCAAAAACUAUCUCAGUUCGGAUUGUCCUCUGCAACUCGAGGGCAUGAAGUUGGAAUCGCUAGUAAUCGUAGAUCAGCAUGCUACGGUGAAUACGUUCCCGGGUCUUGUACACACGC
Molecule: ribosomal RNA, 436 nt
Filed under: uncultured bacterium
Lineage: Bacteria
Description: bacterial SSU rRNA
Rfam family: Bacterial small subunit ribosomal RNA
Source: RNAcentral